AUUCUUAUUAAUUAAGAUGUAUAUAUCAAAAAUAUGCCGACAAAAAUCGCAGACUAAUCUAAUAAAUAUCUGAAUAGUAAGCUAAUAUUCCUUGUGUAUUUCCCACCCCCGUGUAAUUUCCGCUACCCCCUUUGCUGUCCUCGAACGACGCCUCUUUGGCUUUCGGGCAAACUGCAGCCAAAUGAAAUUAGUCAUUGGAGUAGUUGGCUUAAAAGGAGCUGCCUGCGAACGCGACAGAUAUACGGAUGCAAACUCAAUAAGCCAACUAAAUGCAGAAUUCAAAUUUAUCCGCUCGGCACAGAAACUGGCGCACAAUUUGCACACUUUUCGCCAGAUUCAAUUCUCAAAGAGAAGAAACCCUCCGCCUCCUCCUCCUCCUCCUCCUCCCUGCAAAGUUCAGCAAAUUGCCGCCCAUCCGUUCAGAUCCCGAGCCAUGGGAUUGAGUCAUAUAUACCAUCACCAUUACCAUCGCCAUUACCAUCGUUCGUAAUUCUUUGGAGCGGCGUAAAAUCAUUAUUCGUCACGCUCAGAUUGCCGCACUUGAGUGGCCAGGUAGAUGUGUUUGCAUACAACUCUAUAACUCUGUCACACUCACCUGGUCUUUUGCAUUUCGAAGUUGAAGUUGAAGUGGAAGUUCUCAAGGGGAAACCACUGGCUAUGACAGCCGAUGGUGUGAAUCCAUUUUGGGCAAUGGAAAAAUGGUGUUUGCAGGGAAUUCAAACAACUUUAUGGGUCUGAAAGAAGUGAUCUGUUCUACGUGGCAUUUCAUUUAUUUGCUGUAGAUUGACAUAUUUACAAUGCAUUCGAUCGAUUAGCUGGACUAAAUGGUAUCAAAAGUCAUGUGGUUCACCUACAUUCAUUCAUUUUUAUCAGAGAUUAUGAAAUCAGAAUUAAAGCAUUUCAAUGCUUAUCAAACUGGAAUGAAAAUAAAAAUAAAAAAAUAACUGCUGCACCUAAAAA
Long non-coding RNA from Drosophila simulans, 960 nucleotides. RefSeq lists it as uncharacterized. The record is from RefSeq and is a predicted model, not a curated record. The transcript has 2 exons. Lineage: Eukaryota; Metazoa; Arthropoda; Insecta; Diptera; Drosophilidae.